GAUGAACGCUGGCGGCGUGCCUAAUACAUGCAAGUCGAGCGAACAGAUGAGAAGCUUGCUUCUCUGAUGUUAGCGGCGGACGGGUGAGUAACACGUGGGUAACCUACCUAUAAGACUGGGAUAACUCCGGGAAACCGGGGCUAAUACCGGAUAAUAUUUUGAACCGCAUGGUUCAAUAGUGAAAGACGGUUUCGGCUGUCACUUACAGAUGGACCCGCGCCGUAUUAGCUAGUUGGUAAGGUAAUGGCUAACCAAGGCGAUGAUACGUAGCCGACCUGAGAGGGUGAUCGGCCACACUGGAACUGAGACACGGUCCAGACUCCUACGGGAGGCAGCAGUAGGGAAUCUUCCGCAAUGGGCGAAAGCCUGACGGAGCAACGCCGCGUGAGUGAUGAAGGUCUUCGGAUCGUAAAACUCUGUUGUUAGGGAAGAACAAAUUUGUUAGUGACUGAACAAGUCUUGACGGUACCUAACCAGAAAGCCACGGCUAACUACGUGCCAGCAGCCGCUGUAA
Molecule: ribosomal RNA, 514 nt
Filed under: uncultured bacterium
Lineage: Bacteria
Description: partial 16S ribosomal RNA
Rfam family: Bacterial small subunit ribosomal RNA
Source: RNAcentral